GCCGCGCCCGACGGCGGGGGGCGCGCUGGGGCCCGGGCGGCGGAGGCCCGGGGCUCCCGGCAGCGGCGCGGGAGGGAGGAGACAGCGAGGCCACGCCGGGCCCCGGGGCGUCCCGGGAGGUGUCGACGCGCUGGCGCCUAGAGGCGCCCCGGGCGAGGCAGCGCUCCGAGCGCCCUUGAACGUCACCCGCGGAAAUCCUCGUGGGCAGGGCGGCGCCGAGGGCGCGGGCGUCCGCGCGGGUCUCCCCAUCCGGGGAAGGUGUUCCUGGGACCCGACUUGUCUGGCGAACCCCCCAGCGCGGGGGUCGGGCUUCUCCGCGCGGUCCCGGACCCAGUGUUGAUGUUUUCCGUGGAAAAGGGCGAGACAUGAAGGCCGAAAGCCUAGGUCUCAGUUUAAGACAAGUUUAGCGACGCAGGUGAAGGCGAGGCCUGGCGAACCAUCUGUGGUUGUGCAAUUGGAGGGUCCCCGGGAGGCUCCCGGCCGCCUGCGUGCGUUGGGGGCCCGACCUUCCUGACGCUGAGCCCCGCGCUUUCUCCGCACCCCGGACCCGACUUCUCGUGUGAAAUGGGACGAGCAGGCACCUCACAGGGGUCAGUGGCUGGAGCACCUGGCUGGGCGGGGCAGUGCCGGGCACUUGGCCCUGGUGGGUGAAGGGGCUGCUCCGAGGCCAGCAUAUGCCCCGUCUCUUAGGCAGAGUAGAAGCGCUGCAGGCAGACCGCUGCAGACCACCGGUGUUGGUCUCCAGGAGCCCCCAAACCCCACCUGGCUGCCCCAAGGGUUGCCACUCCUGUUGGGAGGCGGUGGGAGUAAAAGCCAUCCCUGCGGUGACCUUGGCCGUGUCAGCUAUAGGGGCAUUCCUCGGGGGUCCCCGCAGAGGUCCACUUGCCCGGUGUCCUCCCACCCGAGAAGGGCUUGGAGUUCUUGACCUCCUGAGGUGCCCUACGGAGUGUCUGGCCAGGCCUCUUUUGCCCUCUUUGCCAUCCCCAGCGGGUCACCUGCGUGGGGGAGUUGGUGGCAGAACCGGAGGGAAGGGUUUCUCGGCGUUGGUCGGCCGGCCUGCCUGAAGAGGCCAGGGAGCCCCGUCUUCUGGCCUGGAAGGUGGGCUGCGGACAGAAGCCGGCCUCAGACUGGUCCCGGGGCCAGCGCAUCUUGGCGUGCCCGUUGGUAUACUGUGGAGGGCCCGUCAACACGGCCAGCCAGGAGCCAGGAGCCAGGAACUGAGCAGCUGGCAACUUUGUGCAAAAUCAGAGUUAGCCCUUAACCAGAGGGAGUCCUCGCGCUGCGGAGCGGCUGCCGGUACUGAGGGGCUUGGCUGCUGCCCCCUCCUCACUCCCUCCUGGGCCUGCUCCUCCCAAGGUUCCCUGCGUCGGAGGCACUCCCAAGGGGCUGGACUGCUGUGAAUCCGGGGAGAGGAAAUCCCAGGGCAAAAUACCGCCAAAAACCGAAAUCAGUCAAAGGGAGAAAUAAAGUUUAA
Molecule: non-coding RNA, 1474 nt
Organism: Manis javanica (Malayan pangolin)
Lineage: Eukaryota; Metazoa; Chordata; Mammalia; Pholidota; Manidae
Source: RefSeq, a predicted model, not a curated record